UGGGACUAAAGGAGUGUGUAACCACAC
Molecule: unclassified non-coding RNA, 27 nt
Filed under: Mus musculus (house mouse)
Lineage: Eukaryota; Metazoa; Chordata; Mammalia; Rodentia; Muridae
Description: oocyte_clustered_small_RNA381
Source: RNAcentral